RNAcentral lists this ribosomal RNA (1950 nucleotides) under Streptococcus pneumoniae. RNAcentral's name for it is "23S ribosomal RNA". It matches the Rfam family "Bacterial large subunit ribosomal RNA", at positions 3 to 1976 of the family's 2925-position model. The record is from RNAcentral. Lineage: Bacteria; Bacillati; Bacillota; Bacilli; Lactobacillales; Streptococcaceae.
UUAAGUUAAUAAGGGCGCACGGUGGAUGCCUUGGCACUAGGAGCCGACGAAGGACGUGACAAACGACGAUAUGCCUUGGGUAGCUGUAAGUAAGCGAUGAUCCAGGGAUUUCCGAAUGGGGGAACCCAACAGGUAGUACCUGUUACCCACAUCUGUUAAGGAUGUGAGGAGGAAGACGCAGUGAACUGAAACAUCUAAGUAGCUGCAGGAAGAGAAAGCAAAAGCGAUUGCCUUAGUAGCGGCGAGCGAAACGGCAGGAGGGCAAACCGAAGAGUUUACUCUUCGGGGUUGUAGGACUGCAAUGUGGACUCAAAGAUUAUAGAAGAAUGAUUUGGGAAGAUCAGCCAAAGAGAGUAAUAGCCUCGUAUUUAAAAUAGUCUUUGUACUUAGCAGUAUCCUGAGUACGGCGGGACACGGGAAAUCCCGUCGGAAUCUGGGGGGACCAUCUCCCAACCCUAAAUACUCCCUAGUGACCGAUAGUGAACCAGUACCGUGAGGGAAAGGUGAAAAGCACCCCGGGAGGGGAGUGAAAUAGAACCUGAAACCGUGUGCCUACAACAAGUUCGAGCCCGUUAAUGGGUGAGAGCGUGCCUUUUGUAGAAUGAACCGGCGAGUUACGUUAUGAUGCGAGGUUAAGUUGAAGAGACGGAGCCGUAGGGAAACCGAGUCUGAAUAGGGCGCCUUAGUAUCAUGACGUAGACCCGAAACCAUGUGACCUACCCAUGAGCAGGUUGAAGGUGCGGUAAGACGCACUGGAGGACCGAACCAGGGCACGUUGAAAAGUGCUUGGAUGACUUGUGGGUAGCGGAGAAAUUCCAAACGAACUUGGAGAUAGCUGGUUCUCUCCGAAAUAGCUUUAGGGCUAGCGUCGACAUUAGAGAUUCUUGGAGGUAGAGCACUGUUUGGGUGAGGGGUCCAUCCCGGAUUACCAAUCUCAGAUAAACUCCGAAUGCCAAUGAAUUAUGGUCGGCAGUCAGACUGCGAGUGCUAAGAUCCGUAGUCGAAAGGGAAACAGCCCAGACCACCAGCUAAGGUCCCAAAAUAAUUGUUAAGUGGAAAAGGAUGUGGGGUUGCACAGACAACUAGGAUGUUAGCUUAGAAGCAGCUAUUCAUUCAAAGAGUGCGUAAUAGCUCACUAGUCGAGUGACCCUGCGCCGAAAAUGUACCGGGGCUAAAACAAUUUACCGAAGCUGUGGAUACCUUUAUAGGUAUGGUAGGAGAGCGUUCUAUGUGUGAUGAAGGUAUACCGUGAGGAGUGCUGGAACGCAUAGAAGUGAGAAUGCCGGUAUGAGUAGCGAAAGACAGGUGAGAAUCCUGUCCACCGUAAGACUAAGGUUUCCAGGGGAAGGCUCGUCCGCCCUGGGUUAGUCGGGACCUAAGGAGAGACCGAAAGGUGUAUCCGAUGGACAACAGGUUGAUAUUCCUGUACUAGAGUAUGUAGUGAUGGAGGGACGCAGUAGGCUAACUAAAGCAGACGAUUGGAAGAGUCUGUCUAAGCAGUGAGGUGUGAAUUGAGUCAAAUGCUUAAUUCUAUAACAUUGAGCUGUGAUGGGGAGCGAAGUUUAGUAGCGAAGUUAGUGACGUCACACUGCCAAGAAAAGCUUCUAGCGUUUAAACAUACUCUACCCGUACCGCAAACCGACACAGGUAGUCGAGGCGAGUAGCCUCAGGUGAGCGAGAGAACUCUCGUUAAGGAACUCGGCAAAAUGACCCCGUAACUUCGGGAGAAGGGGUGCUGACUUUAAGUCAGCCGCAGUGAAUAGGCCCAAGCAACUGUUUAUCAAAAACACAGCUCUCUGCUAAAUCGUAAGAUGAUGUAUAGGGGGUGACGCCUGCCCGGUGCUGGAAGGUUAAGAGGAGUGCUUAGCGUAAGCGAAGGUAUGAAUUGAAGCCCCAGUAAACGGCGGCCGUAACUAUAACGGUCCUAAGGUAGCGAAAUUCCUUGUCGGG